GUGCUCACCUUGGCUGCACAUAUACUAAAAUUGAAACAAUACAGAGAAGAUUGGCAUGGUUCCAGUGAAAGACAUGCAAAUCUGUGUAACAGCCAUACUUUUG
Small nuclear RNA from Ursus americanus (American black bear), 103 nucleotides. Lineage: Eukaryota; Metazoa; Chordata; Mammalia; Carnivora; Ursidae. The record is from Ensembl.